This 123-nucleotide small nucleolar RNA is filed under the name Castor canadensis (American beaver). RNAcentral describes it as "Small nucleolar RNA SNORA51 (ENSCCNG00000023120.1)". It matches the Rfam family "Small nucleolar RNA SNORA51". Rfam says of the family: ACA51 is a member of the H/ACA class of snoRNA that guide the sites of modification of uridines to pseudouridines. Lineage: Eukaryota; Metazoa; Chordata; Mammalia; Rodentia; Castoridae. The record is from Rfam by way of RNAcentral.
GGCCUCCUGGUGCUUACCACAUGCUGUGUUCUUGCACUGACCACAGGAGGCAAAGUAAACCUACCCAUAUACCUAACAGCCCAGGCCCUGGGCCUGGUCUGUCUUGUGAAUGGGGAGAUAUGU